GUCUAUGGCCAUACCACCCUGAACACACCCAAUCUCGUCUGAUCUCAGAAGCUAAGCAGGGUCGGGCCUGGUUAGUACCUGGAUGGAAGAAAGGGUGAGAUAUAGAGA
RNAcentral lists this ribosomal RNA (108 nucleotides) under Pteropus alecto (black flying fox). The record is from RNAcentral. Lineage: Eukaryota; Metazoa; Chordata; Mammalia; Chiroptera; Pteropodidae.